GCAAGCGUUGUCCGGAUUUAUUGGGCGUAAAGCGCGCGUAGGCGGCGCGGUAUGUCGUGCGUGAAAUCUCCCGGCUUAACUGGGAGGGGCCGUGCGAAACUGCCGGGCUUGAGGUCAGAAGGGGAAAGUGGAAUUCCGGGUGUAGUGGUGGAAUGCGUAGAGAUCCGGAGGAACACCAGCGGCGAAGGCGGCAUCCUGGACUGGUCCUGACACUAAGGAGCGAAAGCGUGGGGAGCGAUCCGG
This 243-nucleotide ribosomal RNA is filed under the name uncultured bacterium. Its description in RNAcentral is "partial 16S ribosomal RNA". It matches the Rfam family "Bacterial small subunit ribosomal RNA", at positions 534 to 776 of the family's 1533-position model. The record is from RNAcentral.